Molecule: long non-coding RNA, 386 nt
Filed under: Homo sapiens (human)
Lineage: Eukaryota; Metazoa; Chordata; Mammalia; Primates; Hominidae
Description: HSALNT0306820
Source: RNAcentral
UCCCCCACCGGUGGGAGACUGGCUCAGCUCCCAGGGCAGUGGGUGAGGUGCAGGUGGCGCAGCACUCGGGCCAACCCGGCACAAAUGAACCUGACGCUCCUAGGGCCGGCCCUGCGUGUACCAGCUGCGCUGUCGGCCAGCUGCUCCUGCUGCCGCCUCUUGCGCCUCCCCACUGCAGCCCACAUGAUAGCAGCGGCCCCUCCGGAUGGCCUGCCGCUGCCAUCAGCAAGGCUACCAUAAGCCAUGAAUCAAUGACCAGUAUGGUGUCAUUUCUCACAAGCCAGAAUAGAUGGGUCCAGAAAUCAUCAAAGGGUAAGAAGUAGAAUUAACUUCUUUCAAUAUCAUACCCACUCAGAUUAUUUGAUGCCUGUUCCCCCCAGUUUUGA